RNAcentral lists this ribosomal RNA (452 nucleotides) under uncultured bacterium. RNAcentral's name for it is "bacterial SSU rRNA". It matches the Rfam family "Bacterial small subunit ribosomal RNA", at positions 29 to 524 of the family's 1533-position model. The record is from RNAcentral.
AGCGAACGCUGGCGGCAGGCUUAACACAUGCAAGUCGAACGGGCGUAGCAAUACGUCAGUGGCAGACGGGUGAGUAACGCGUGGGAACGUACCUUUUGGUUCGGAACAACCCAGGGAAACUUGGGCUAAUACCGGAUAAGCCCUUACGGGGAAAGAUUUAUCGCCGGAAGAUCGGCCCGCGUCUGAUUAGCUAGUUGGUGUGGUAACGGCGCACCAAGGCGACGAUCAGUAGCUGGUCUGAGAGGAUGAUCAGCCACAUUGGGACUGAGACACGGCCCAAACUCCUACGGGAGGCAGCAGUGGGGAAUAUUGGACAAUGGGCGCAAGCCUGAUCCAGCCAUGCCGCGUGAGUGAUGAAGGCCCUAGGGUUGUAAAGCUCUUUUGUGCGGGAAGAUAAUGACGGUACCGCAAGAAUAAGCCCCGGCUAACUUCGUGCCAGCCGCCGCUGUAAC